CCUCCUGCCGGCCCUCUGCGCGCCCCGGCCGCCGGAGGAUGCUGCGUGUGCUCGGUUGUCCUGCCAUAAGUAGUAGAAAGUGCCCAGGAUCCAGGCUACGGUCAGGAUGGCGAUGGCAUUGGCGCGGAUCUUCCUCAUGGAAUGGACUCCAGCAGCAUCACAGAAUCAAAGCAACACCUAAGGAAUUCACUGUUUCUUCACAUACUUUGAACUGUGAAAACAAGAGUGAUCAUAAUAGCUGCAGUUUACUCAGUACCUACCAGGUGCCAGCCACUGUGCCACCACUUCACCUAUACUGUCUCUAAAGCCCCUACAACCCUGAGCUAAGGAUGAUCAUAUCCCCAACUGCAGAUGAUGACACUGAAGCUCAAAGGCUACUCAACUUGCCUGGAAUCCUACAGCAAGCCUCUCUGCAGCUCAGUGCCUAGGGGAAGAGGAGCCCAGUGACUGAGCUGGAGUCACACGCUGGAAGCUGCCUUCAGACCAGAACCUCCCUAAGGGUCCCUCUCUAGCCAGGCUGGCCAACAGCCUUGCUCCCCUGGCUGCCCCAUGGGCCUGGAGGGGUUCUGUGGGUGCACACCCGCUGCUGGCUACCCCUGCCGCCGGCACUCAUCUGAGCUGUCGAGCUGUGUAGGGAUUCCAUUCAGAGUGCUCCAGUAAGGGACUGGCCCCAUAGCUCCAGCACCAGAUGGGCAAAGAGGCCUAAGAAUUCAGCAAAAGGGGAAGUACAUCUAGCCUUAAAUUCUCCAGGCUGUGCCAUCCCUUUCAAAUGCAGACUGCCUUUGUUUGUUUUCUACUACUAAUAUAACAUGAGGACAGGCUCAUAAAAAAUAAUAAAAGGGCGAGAGAUGAGUAGGAGACAAGGUCCUCACAGAUCCCUUUGUUCCUGGCCUUAUCCCCAAACUGCUUGCCUCCAUGUGGCAGAGCUGAGCUGCAGGGUCUCUGGCAGGGGCCCGCUGCCCUGGUCUCCCCAGUGCCGGCUCCUCAUCAACUUUCCCUCAUGACAUCCAGCCUCCACCUGACCUUCCUCUUUUGAUUCUAACCUUUAAUGGGUGCUGGCCCAUCACUUGUGUGUCCUAUGUUCUCUAUGCCCCUCCUCAGAUUUCUGAUCCCCCCCAUUACCUGUUUCACCGACUUAUGGCACUGCCACACUGCCAAGAAUAGCCAUCAUCACUGAGGUCUGCUUCCUAGUCUGGAGCUCUCACUUGCCCCACAGCCGAGAUUGUUCAAGGUAGGAGCCUCUACUGUCCAUUCACAUUCCCCAUACCCUACAUCUUUCCAGAAUCAACACAGCCAAUCUCCCCUUAGCAAGUAAAAAAUAUUCAUGUCCUUCCUUUGUAUGACCCCUUACUGGGAAUCCAGAGAUCAUGGUGCUUAGGUCUUGUAAGUGGUCUCCGUGGAUAGGGUGGGAAGAGGCCACAUUGGUCUUCUGAAGUACUAACUCUCUUUGCUAAAAGAUACUCUUUUGAAAAUGGCUCUGCACGCUGCCCAUGCUCAAUCUGGGGUGUCCUGGCUGUGCUGGAGCACUGACUGCUGACCUCACGUUGCAGGCCCCAGUGUUUGCCACUGCAAUGAGCAGCCUCUCCUGCCUCCCCAGCUGCACACAGGCCCAGGUGGGGCUGGGCUGUCCCCUAGCAGGCCACGGGAAGGUGGAGGCAAGAAGAUCAUCGGGAAGCCAUGACAGUCAGACAAGCAGCAGCAGAUGGGGAUGUGCACUGGGUGGAGUGGACAAAUAGCAUGAGGAAAAUCAGCUUUGGGGACAGAAAAAGCCAAGUGGGAAGUGUAAUAAAUACUAAAACCAGAAAAGCCUGAAGACAGUCCAUCUAGGGAGCAGCAAGAGGAUGGCUAACAUCACUGGAGUUUAGGUCGGAGGGGAGGACGGCAGGAGGAGCCGAGGUGGUCAGUAUUCCAGGGGCUAGGGACAAGAGAAAUGGCACAACAUAAGUCUCUCGGGAAGGGUCACUCACCUUCCAAGCUGUUGGACUCAUUGGCUGCCACAAGAAGAAUCUAUUUAAAACACACCAGGCAUUUUGCCUCAUUCAGUUUCCCUGCCCAGAAAAGGCUGGAGCCAAAGGCUGAGGGAAGGAUUCCAGCAUUAGGACCCUGCAUGGAUGACAUGGCUGAGACCAUUCAGGAUGGGGAAGAUCCCUGCUCCAUGCUGAAUGACCCACACUUACAUCCCCCACCCCCACCCAAGCUGCCAGGCCACUAAACUCCUUGCAUAUUGAACACAGUCCCAAAGGCAGCUUGUGGUACCAUUUCCACUGGGAAAUACUCAAUGGCUUCCUUCAUCCUGUUUUCAAGCUUGUCAGAAAGCAGAUGCUGCUCAAAUCUGACAGCUGCUCUUAAGGGCAUGCUCAAAGGGCACUCCCUGACCAGAGGGAAUAUUCUUAAUGAUGACCGAGAGGCCUUGGGUGUUUAGACUAUGGCAAGACAAAGGAGCGAGCAUGAAAGGGCAUCAAGGGUAAAAUGGCCCUAGGGAAACCAUACGGGACUUGAAUUGGAAAACACCAACAGCCUCGCUCCUUUCUCUGGACUGUGUAUCUUCGGGAAGUUCUAAUUUGGAGAAGACCUGACUCCUUAUCCACCUGCCACUGAGAAAGUAUUAAUAAAAUAUAAGGCUAGGGUCUAGGAGAAGUGGCCC
This is a long non-coding RNA of Gorilla gorilla gorilla (western lowland gorilla), 2644 nucleotides long. RefSeq lists it as uncharacterized. NCBI's taxonomy places the organism in Eukaryota, Metazoa, Chordata, Mammalia, Primates, Hominidae. The transcript is spliced from 3 exons. The record is from RefSeq and is a predicted model, not a curated record.